CUACGGGUGGCUGCAGUGAGGAAUAUUGCACAAUGGGGGGAACCCUGAUGCAGCAACGCCGCGUGGAGGAUGACGCAUUUCGGUGUGUAAACUCCUUUUAUAUGUCAAGAAGAUGACGGUAGCAUAUGAAUAAGCACCGGCUAACUCCGUGCCAGCAGCCGCGGUAAUACGGGGGGUGCAAGCGUUACUCGGAAUCACUGGGCGUAAAGGACGCGUAGGCGGGUUGGAAAGUCAGGUGUGAAAUCCUACAGCUUAACUGUAGAACUGCACUUGAAACUUCUAAUCUAGAGUAUGGGAGGGGGAGAUGGAAUUAGUGGUGUAGGGGUAAAAUCCGUAGAUAUCACUAGGAAUACCUAAAGCGAAGGCGAUCUCCUGGAACAUUACUGACGCUAAGGCGUGAAAGCGUGGGGAGCAAACAGGAUUAGAUACCCUCGUAGUC
RNAcentral lists this ribosomal RNA (439 nucleotides) under uncultured bacterium. RNAcentral describes it as "partial 16S ribosomal RNA". It matches the Rfam family "Bacterial small subunit ribosomal RNA", at positions 339 to 795 of the family's 1533-position model. The record is from RNAcentral.